RNAcentral lists this ribosomal RNA (739 nucleotides) under uncultured bacterium. Its description in RNAcentral is "bacterial SSU rRNA". It matches the Rfam family "Bacterial small subunit ribosomal RNA", at positions 115 to 871 of the family's 1533-position model. The record is from RNAcentral.
GCGUAGGGAACCUGGCCCUUACAGGGGGAUAACAGAUGGAAACAACUGCUAAUACCGCAUAAGCGCCCAGCCUCGCAUGAGGCAGAGUGAAAAACUAAGGUGGUAAGGGAUGGCCCUGCGUCCGAUUAGCUAGUUGGUAUGGUAACGGCAUACCAAGGCGACGAUCGGUAGCCGGCCUGAGAGGGUGGACGGCCACAUUGGGACUGAGACACGGCCCAAACUCCUACGGGAGGCAGCAGUGGGGGAUAUUGCACAAUGGGGGAAACCCUGAUGCAGCGACACCGCGUGGGUGAAGAAGCGCUUCGGCGUGUAAAGCCCUAUCAGUGGGGAAGAAAAAGGACGGUACCCAAAGAAGAAGCACCGGCUAAAUACGUGCCAGCAGCCGCGGUAAUACGUAUGGUGCAAGCGUUAUCCGGAAUGACUGGGUGUAAAGGGAGCGUAGACGGUUGUACAAGUCUGAUGUGAAAGCCCACGGCUCAACUGUGGGAGUGCAUUGGAAACUGUAGAACUAGAGUAUCGGAGAGGCAAGUGGAAUUCCUAGUGUAGCGGUGAAAUGCGUAGAUAUUAGGAGGAACACCAGUGGCGAAGGCGGCUUGCUGGACGAAAACUGACGUUGAGGCUCGAAAGCGUGGGGAGCAAACAGGAUUAGAUACCCUGGUAGUCCACGCUGUAAACGAUGAAUACUAGGUGUUGGGGCCCGAAGGGCGUCGGUGCCGUCGCAAACGCAGUAAGUAUUCCA